Molecule: ribosomal RNA, 466 nt
Filed under: uncultured bacterium
Lineage: Bacteria
Description: partial 16S ribosomal RNA
Rfam family: Bacterial small subunit ribosomal RNA
Source: RNAcentral
GAUGAACGCUGGCGGCGUGCUUAACACAUGCAAGUCGAACGAGGAAGCCCAGCUUGCUGGGUGGAGUAGUGGCGAACGGGUGAGUAACACGUGAGUAACCUGCCCUUAACUCUGGGAUAAGCCUGGGAAACUGGGUCUAAUACCGGAUAGGAGCGUCCACCGCAUGGUGGGUGUUGGAAAGAUUUAUUGGUUUUGGUUGGACUCGCGGCCUAUCAGCUUGUUGGUGAGGUAUUGGCUCACCAAGGCGACGACGGGUAGCCGGCCUGGGAGGGUGACCGGCCACACUGGGACGGAGACACGGCCCAGACUACUACGGGAGGCAGCAGUGGGGAAUAGUGCACAAUGGGCGGAAGGCUGAUGCAGCGACGCCGCGUGGGGGAUGACGGCCUUCGGGUUGUAAACCUCUUUCCGUAGGGAAGAAGCGAAAGUGACGGUACCGGGAGAAGAAGCACCGGCUAACUACGUG